GAAAUAUAUUUUUAAGCUGCUAACUUAAUUUUUAGUGAAUAAAUUUCAUUAAUAUUUCU
This 59-nucleotide transfer RNA is filed under the name Notocrypta curvifascia (restricted demon). RNAcentral's name for it is "tRNA-Ser". The record is from RNAcentral. Lineage: Eukaryota; Metazoa; Arthropoda; Insecta; Lepidoptera; Hesperiidae.